RNAcentral lists this ribosomal RNA (257 nucleotides) under uncultured bacterium. RNAcentral describes it as "partial 16S ribosomal RNA". It matches the Rfam family "Bacterial small subunit ribosomal RNA", at positions 524 to 776 of the family's 1533-position model. The record is from RNAcentral.
UACGUAGGGGUGCGAGCGUUGUCCGGAAUUAUUGGGCGUAAAGGGCUCGUAUGGCGGUCUGUUGCGUCAGGAGUGAAAACUCGGGGCUUAACCCCGAGCCUGCUUCUGAUACGGGCAGACUAGAGGUAUGCAGGGGGAGAACGGAAUUCCUGGUGUAGCGGUGAAAUGCGCAGAUAUCAGGAGGAACACCGGUGGCGAAGGCGGUUCUCUGGGCAUUACCUGACGCUGAGGAGCGAAAGUGUGGGGAGGCGAACAGG